This is a non-coding RNA of Acanthosepion pharaonis, 116 nucleotides long. The record is from the annotation of a GenBank genome assembly. Lineage: Eukaryota; Metazoa; Mollusca; Cephalopoda; Sepiida; Sepiidae.
UUACGGCCACAUCACGCUGAAAAACACCUGUUCCUGUACAAUCAAUGAAAUUAAGCAACUUUGUGCUUGGUCACUACCAAGAUGGGUAACCACUUGUGAAUACCAGGUGCUGUAAG